RNAcentral lists this ribosomal RNA (574 nucleotides) under Penicillium sp. BKS9. RNAcentral's name for it is "eukaryotic LSU rRNA". It matches the Rfam family "Eukaryotic large subunit ribosomal RNA", at positions 50 to 639 of the family's 3401-position model. The record is from RNAcentral. Lineage: Eukaryota; Fungi; Ascomycota; Eurotiomycetes; Eurotiales; Aspergillaceae.
GCGGAGGAAAAGAAACCAACCGGGAUUGCCUCAGUAACGGCGAGUGAAGCGGCAAGAGCUCAAAUUUGAAAUCUGGCCCCCCCGGGGUCCGAGUUGUAAUUUGCAGAGGAUGCUUCGGGUGCGGUCCCCGUCUAAGUGCCCUGGAACGGGCCGUCAUAGAGGGUGAGAAUCCCGUCUGGGAUGGGCGGCCGCGCCCGUGUGAAGCUCCUUCGACGAGUCGAGUUGUUUGGGAAUGCAGCUCUAAGCGGGUGGUAAAUUUCAUCUAAAGCUAAAUACUGGCCGGAGACCGAUAGCGCACAAGUAGAGUGAUCGAAAGAUGAAAAGCACUUUGAAAAGAGAGUCAAACAGCACGUGAAAUUGUUGAAAGGGAAGCGUUGUCCACCAGACUCGCCCGGGGGGGUUCAGCCGGCACGUGUGCCGGUGUACUCCUCUCCGGGCGGGCCAGCAUCGGUUUGGGCGGCUGGUGAAAGGCCCCGGGAAUGUACCACCCUCCGGGGUGUCUUAUAGCCCGGGGUGCCAUGCGGCCAGCCUGGACCGAGGCCCGCGCUUCGGCGAGGAUGCUGGCGUAAUGGUG